CCUACGGGAGGCUGCAGUGAGGAAUAUUGGUCAAUGGACGGAAGUCUGAACCAGCCAUGCCGCGUGCAGGAAGACGGCUCUAUGAGUUGUAAACUGCUUUUGUACAAGGGUAAACCUGAAUACGUGUAUUCAGCUGAAAGUACUGUACGAAUAAGGAUCGACUAACUCCGUGCCAGCAGCCGAGGUAAGACGGAGGAUCCAAGCGUUAUCCGGAUUUAUUGGGUUUAAAGGGUGCGUAGGCGGAUUGAUAAGUUAGAGGUGAAAUGUCCGAGCUUAACUCGGGAACUGCCUCUAAUACUGUUGAUCUAGAGAGUAGAUGCGGUAGGCGGAAUGUAUGGUGUAGCGGUGAAAGGCUUAGAGAUCAUACAGAACACCGAUUGCGAAGGCAGCUUACCAAUCUAUAUCUGACGUUGAGGCACGAAAGCGUGGGGAGCAAACAGGAUUAGAUACCCGGGUAGUC
RNAcentral lists this ribosomal RNA (460 nucleotides) under uncultured bacterium. RNAcentral describes it as "partial 16S ribosomal RNA". It matches the Rfam family "Bacterial small subunit ribosomal RNA", at positions 338 to 795 of the family's 1533-position model. The record is from RNAcentral.